This 429-nucleotide RNase P RNA is filed under the name Actinomycetota bacterium. RNAcentral's name for it is "RNase P RNA component class A". It matches the Rfam family "Bacterial RNase P class A". Rfam says of the family: Ribonuclease P (RNase P) is a ubiquitous endoribonuclease, found in archaea, bacteria and eukarya as well as chloroplasts and mitochondria. Lineage: Bacteria; Bacillati; Actinomycetota. The record is from RNAcentral.
UGAGCCGGCCGGGCGACCGCGUUGCGCCGCCUCGUCGGCGUACCGAGGAAGGUCCGGACUCUGCAGGGCAGGGUGGUGGGUAACUCCCACCCGAGGUGACUCGCGGGACAGUGCCACAGAAAACAGACCGCCAGCGGCUCCAAUCGUGUCGUCAGACCGGUCGGAGUGCGGGCAAGGGUGAAACGGUGGUGUAAGAGACCACCAGCGUCCCAGGAGACUGGGACGGCUAGGUAAACCCCACCCGGAGCAAGGCCAAGAGGACCCGCUGCGCGAGCAGCUGGUCUGCGCGGACGUUCGAGGGCUGCCCGCCCGAGUCCGUGGGUAGGCCGCUGGAGGACGUCGGUGACGGCGUCCGUAGAUGGAUGGUCGCCGGUGCCGGGCCCUCGGGGCCUGGCGUCACAGGAUCCGGCCUACACGCCGGCUCAUCCG